CUUAGCCCCUCCGGCGCCGCUCUUUCUAGGUUGAGUCGGGUAGGGGUCUGGUCCGUCGUCCCAUUGAUCAGCCCAUGUGGUUCCAUACGACCCGAUCGGUUCCAUUUCUCAAGCUCUAUAGUUAAAUGAUGAAAGAAGGGAGAAGAUAAAAUA
This is a long non-coding RNA of Hibiscus syriacus, 153 nucleotides long. RefSeq lists it as uncharacterized. Lineage: Eukaryota; Viridiplantae; Streptophyta; Magnoliopsida; Malvales; Malvaceae. The record is from RefSeq and is a predicted model, not a curated record. The transcript has 3 exons.